RNAcentral lists this long non-coding RNA (759 nucleotides) under Olea europaea subsp. europaea. The record is from RNAcentral. Lineage: Eukaryota; Viridiplantae; Streptophyta; Magnoliopsida; Lamiales; Oleaceae.
GAGGUACACCUUAUCAAUUUUGUCUAUUCCCAUUACAUAAAAGCAACACUUCAAACAUUAUAUAUAGCAUACAUUAUGGCACCCCCCCAAUUUGCAUCUCUCUCAUUACCUUACUUAUAGUUUACACACAAUAGAGAGAGAGCGCUUGCUAAUGGAAUCCUCCAUCAGGUUUUUUAGAGUGGGCUUCCUUCUGCUAUCACUUGUCAUGACAACUGGUUUGAACUUUCUUUACCAUUAACUUCUUUAGUGUGUAUAUAUAUAUUUAUCGAUCAAAUUCAAAUAUAAAAGUUAAAAACUGCAAUUUUAUCGUUCUUUUGUAGGCUAAUACACAUAUAUUUCUUAACCUAAUUGCAGCAGAAAGUAGGCCAGAUUGCUAUAACGAUGUAUGCACUACUGAGUGCACAAAAAAAGUGGGUUAUACUGUUAACGGGUGUUGCUCUAAGGACGAAUGUUUCUGCAUUAGUGCCAAUACUGAUUGUUCAGAGGUUUUUCCCCCAGCAGGUGAAACCCUAGUCACUUUUACUCUCUUCGUUGUUUAUUUUUUUUAUUAUUAUUAUUUUUUUUCCCUCUCUGAGUCCCCAGUGUUUUUGUUUAAGCCUCCGUUAGGCAAAUUUAUAAAUAUUUUACAAAGAGGAAGAGUAGUGAGUCUUGUGAAAUGUGUUAAUAAUAAUUAGUAAUUAUAAAUUUGUUGUUAAAAUCAAAAUUAAUUUUAACUCAACUUAUAAUUGAACAUAAUAUAUGUAUGUAUGUAUGUAUGUG